UUCUGCGUGUGUGUUUGGUAGUGCGGGAGAAAUUAAACUUACGAAACAUUACAAAAGAUAUACAUAUAGCUGUCCCUUGUUGUAACGGUCAGUUUCCCUAAAGCCUUCAACUAUGAUCGGUUGUAGAGCUAAACAUUUUCAGUCAUUGUCAAUUGUGUUGUUGAAAUAAUCUUUGUGAUGUACUGUGUCGUAUAAUGAUUCAGUAUUAAUAUUAGUGUUAUUUUGUUAAUUUAACACCAAAAUUUUUUUAAAUUAGUAUGAUAAAUCUGGAAGAGACGCCAUGGAAAAGACGAAUCUUCAACCUAUUAUUACUUUUGGUAUUAACAACUAUUCUAGAUGGAAUUUCAGGAGCCGUUAUAAAUGACAGAGCAACGGAAAUCGAAAACACAAAUUGGACUCAACUAGCGGAUGAGAUUCUUUCAGAAGAAUUACUCAUAGCGAAACAAAAGUUUCGAGAUCGAUUGUCUCCAAUAUUGGCAUCGAGUGGUGUGACAAGAGAAUUACCACCAACUGCUGCACCUGAGAAUGAAAAGGUCGUUAUUGUUGACGUUAAUGGAAUGCCCGUUGAUCAAUUAGCAAAGGUAAAUUAUUCACGAAUGUUAUGGGACAUGGAAAAUACACAAUCAAGUGGUCAUUUUUCACUAUUUGUGGAUAAAGCAAUUAAAUUAUUAGACUUGCAACAAGUUAUGAUUGAAGUAGAAACUUCCGUAAUGUCAAAAGUAUCAUGUACAGCUUGCAAAGCUGGAGCUGGACUUUUACAAUAUUAUAUUAAACAUGGAAAAAGUGAUGAAGAUAUUAUGAAAAAUAUCUAUCGAUUUUGUGUAUCAUUACGCAUACAAAGUUCAAGAGUAUGUCAUGGAGUUACUCUGCUUUUUGGGGGAGAAGUAAUUCACGUUUUAAAACAAGUGAAUAUGGAGCCAGCUCAAAUAUGUAGUUUUGUAAUUGGUGAUGCAUGUGAUGAUGCAUAUAAUCCUCAACAUGAAUGGGAAGUAGCUUUUCCACCUGUAAAUAAACCGCCAAUUCAACCACCAAAUCCACCAAUUGAUAAUGCUCCUACGUUUAAAGUACUACAUAUUUCGGACACUCAUUAUGAUCCUUAUUAUCAUGAAGGUGCUAAUGCACAGUGUAAUGAGCCUUUGUGUUGUCGUUUAACAAAUGGACUAGCACAUGAACCAGGAGCAGCAGCUGGACGAUGGGGUGAUUAUAGAAAGUGUGAUACGCCAAAACGAACAGUGGACCAUAUGUUGAAUCAUAUUAAACAGACCCAUUCCGAUAUAGAUUAUAUUUUAUGGACAGGUGAUUUACCACCUCACGACAUUUGGAAUCAAACUCGAGAGGAAAAUUUGAAAAUUCUCAGAGAUACUGUUGUUCAAAUGGCUGAAACAUUCCCAGGAAUACCAAUAUUUCCAGCACUCGGAAACCACGAGUCGGCUCCAGUUAAUAGUUUUCCACCACCUUCGAGUACUCCUGACGAAGACAGUAGUAUUUCAUGGCUUUACAAUGAAUUAGAUAAACAAUGGAGACGUUGGUUACCCGCGGGCGUGUCUCAUACUGUUCGACGUGGUGCAUUUUAUUCAGUGCUAGUUCGUCCAGGAUUUCGUAUUAUUUCAGUAAACAUGAAUUACUGUAAUAACAAAAAUUGGUGGCUCUUGAUAAAUAGCACCGAUCCUGUUAGUGAAUUACAAUGGUUGGUGUAUGAACUCCAAGGAGCUGAAAUGAACGGAGAAAAAGUUCAUAUAAUCGGUCAUAUACCACCUGGUCAUUCUGAUUGUUUAAAAAUAUGGUCAAGAAAUUACUAUCACAUAAUCAAUCGUUAUGAAUCAACUAUAACGGCACAAUUUUUCGGACAUACGCAUUACGAUGAAUUUCAAUUGUUCUAUGACAUUUCAGACUUUAGUAGAGCAUUGAGUAUUGCUUAUGUCGGGCCUUCUGUCUCGCCUUAUUAUGAUUUAAAUCCAGGUUAUAGAAUAUAUUACGUUGAUGGAGAUCAUUCAGAAACAACAAGAUUAGUUGUUGAUCAUGAAAGUUGGGUGAUGAAUCUCAAGGAAGCUAAUCUUUAUGAUUAUCCUAUUUGGCGAAAAAUGUACAGUGCACGUCAGGCAUAUCAGAUGUCAUCAUUAUUACCGAAAGAUUGGGAUGCUUUUAUUGAUAAAAUGACGAAUGAGCCAUCGAACUUUGAUCUUUAUUACAAGCAUUAUUAUAAAAACUCACCUGUUAGACCAGCUUGUAACAAUGAUUGUCGGAAAAGAUUGCUUUGUGAUCUUCGUAGUGGUCGUAGUCAUGAUCGAAAAAUGUUAUGUCAAACUCUAGAAUCUCGAAUCGAUGGAAUAUCAACAAGUAGCUGGCGGGAAUGGAUAUACAAUGGUUUAAAAUUAUCGUACGUAAAAAAUUGGUGGAUGAAAAAGACGAUGUUUUAAUGGAUAUUAGUUAAUAAAAAAAAAAUAUUACUAAUUAAUAUUUUCUCUACUUAAAUCUUUCUCUUUUAUUUUAUUAAUAUAUUUGUUUUUUUAGUAAUAAAUUAAUUUAUUAGUCAAUUUAGAGUAUUAAUAAUUUUAUGUAUAAUUUAAUAACACCGCUUUUCAUUCAGUGCACGCCUAUGGUGACAGUCGCUUUGUGAAUUUGUGUAAUCAAUUUGAAAAAAAUGUCAGUAGUAAUGGCGAUUCCACGAUUUGCAUACAAUUUGCCAAAAUACGUACUAGGUCUUGGCUGACAAGCUUGUAAUCUAUUUUCAAUUUACUAUGACCGCCAUAAUCAGUUUAAUCACCAUGAUGGCUAUAUAAAAAAAUUAUAAAUAGUGUACAUAUAAUUUAUAAUAUUUGUUGAUAUUUUUAGACAUAAACUAUUAGUUUUCUACGUUAAGAUCAUGUUGAUUGUUAUAAGAAUGAUGUAUUAUAUAGCAUUUUA
RNAcentral lists this unclassified non-coding RNA (2904 nucleotides) under Chelonus insularis. RNAcentral describes it as "sphingomyelin phosphodiesterase-like, transcript variant X1". The record is from RNAcentral. Lineage: Eukaryota; Metazoa; Arthropoda; Insecta; Hymenoptera; Braconidae.